RNAcentral lists this ribosomal RNA (1502 nucleotides) under metagenome. Its description in RNAcentral is "bacterial SSU rRNA". It matches the Rfam family "Bacterial small subunit ribosomal RNA". The record is from RNAcentral.
AGAGUUUGAUCCUGGCUCAGGACGAACGCUGGCGGCGUGCUUAACACAUGCAAGUCUACGAGAAUUGAGGUGCUUGCACUUCAAGGGCAGUGGCGAACGGGUGAGUAACGCGUAGAUAACCUACCUUUUAGAUUGGGAUAAUUCAUGGAAACGUGGACUAAUACCGAAUGUUGUCUUUUGAUCGCAUGAUCAUUAGAUUAAAGAUCACAGAAUCGCUAAAAGAUGGGUCUGCGUGACAUUAGUUUGUUGGCGAGGUAACGGCUCACCAAGGACUACGAUGUCUAGCUGGUCUGAGAGGAUGAUCAGCCACACUGGGACUGAGAUACGGCCCAGACUCCUACGGGAGGCAGCAGUGAGGAAUAUUGCACAAUGGGGGCAACCCUGAUGCAGCAACGCCGCGUGUACGAUGAAACUAUUCUGUAGCGUAAAGUACUGUUAAUCGUGACGAACAUAUAGGUUUACAGCUUAUAUUGACGGUAGCGAUAGAGGAAGCUCCGGCUAACUCCGUGCCAGCAGCCGCGGUAAUACGGGGGGAGCUAGCGUUGUCCGGAUUUAUUGGGCGUAAAGGGCAUGUAGGUGGUACAGACAGUCAGUUGUUAAAUAUUACGGCUUAACCGUGCUAUGCAAUUGAUACUUCUGUUCUUGAGUAUGUGAGGGGAUGAUGGAAUGCCUAGUGUAGCGGUGGAAUGCGUAGAUAUUAGGUAGAACACCAGUGGAGAAGUCGAUCAUCUGGCACAUUACUGACACUGAUAUGCGAAAGCGUGGGUAGCAAACAGGAUAGAUACCCUGGUAGUCCACGCCGUAAACGAUGGGCACUAGGUGUCUGGGGACUAGUCCCCCGGGUGCCGUAGCUAACGCGUUAAGUGCCCCGCCUGGGGAGUACGAUCGCAAGAUUGAAACUCAAAGGAAUUGACGGGGGCCCGCACAAGCGGUGGAGCAUGUGGUUUAAUUCGAUGCAACGCGAAGAACCUUACCUGGGCUUGAACAGCAAAUGCCAUUUGUAGAGAUACAAAGUUCCUAGCAAUAGGACGUUUGUAGAGGUGCUGCAUGGCUGUCGUCAGCUCGUGUCGUGAGAUGUUGGGUUAAGUCCCGCAACGAGCGCAACCCUUAUCAUUAGUUGCCAGCGAGUUAUGUCGGGGACUCUAAUGAGACUGCCUGGGUUAACCAGGAGGAAGGUGGGGAUGACGUCAAGUCCUCAUGGCCUUUAUGUCCAGGGCUACACACGUGCUACAAUGGGCGGUACAGAGUGAUGCUACACCGCGAGGUGAUGCUAAUCGCUAAAACCGUUCUCAGUUCGGAUCGCAGUCUGCAACUCGACUGCGUGAAGUUGGAAUCGCUAGUAAUCGCGGAUCAGCAUGCCGCGGUGAAUACGUUCCCGGGCCUUGUACACACCGCCCGUCACACCACGGAAGUUGAUAGUGCCCGAAGUAGCUGGUCUAACCCUUUUGGGAGGAACGCUACGAAGGCAAGAUUGAUAACUGGGGUGAAGUCGAAACAAGGUA